This is a non-coding RNA of Misgurnus anguillicaudatus (oriental weatherfish), 1508 nucleotides long. Lineage: Eukaryota; Metazoa; Chordata; Actinopteri; Cypriniformes; Cobitidae. The record is from RefSeq and is a predicted model, not a curated record.
AUGUCGCGAGGCCAUCACGUGACCACAAUAUUUACCAGAAGACCGUUAUUUGCUCGAGUUCCCUCAACUUUUUUGUCGCAAAUAACAUUAUUAAUAACCUGUAAAUAAUAAAAUUUGUACACAUUACGUUCCUCUUCACGUUGUAAUAGUAUGUUUUUGGUUUAAUAGUCGGCUUUAAGUUAGUUUUUCUGUCAGUUUGAUCGUCAAAAUCUUGAAAGUUAUCUACAGCCACACAUCCACUGUAUACCAAGUUAUGAUGAUCAAUUAUGAGAAUGCAAAAUGAUUUAUAGAUCAGUAAACAAUCAACAAAAAGAUGGGUGCUCAUGGUGGCCUCCAAAUAAAUACAUGGACAGGCUGCUAAAGAGGGUCAGGAUGAUGGAGAUGCAAGAGCCAAAGACAGCACGGACCAAACACCAGGCCAGAAUUCUGCAUGAGUCAGCUGUAAAAAACAAAAGAAUGAAACAGUACCUGCAUUUUAGUUUCCAGCCUUUUUCACAAAGUUGCCGACAACUGGAAGAAUGUCCCAAAUUGCUGAAAAAAGAAAUUCAAUUGAGUAAUUUUCACUCUAGAGACCCUGGGGUGACCACCAAGGACGAAUGCAAACUCCAGUGAGUGUCUCUAAGGUAGAUCCUUAUGCAGAUGGAUGGAAUGUUGAUCCGCCUAACAUGCAAGAUUUUCUGUACCGAGAACUUUGGAUGACCAUCAAGACAAGCACUCGUUUUGAGUCCUGAGACCCUGGGGUGACCACCGUGAACAAAUACAGACUGCAAAAAGGCAGUCUUGACGGUUCUAGGAUGAAUGCAAAUAAAGACUGACCACCUGACUUCAGCGGUCCAGUCUCUUGUGGGAAGCAGGUGUUUGUUACCCCAAAUACGGAUGAAGAGUGACGAAGAGGAUAAUGACUUUUUUCUCAAACAUCAUCUGAAGAUCUUGACAGGCUGGAGACAAAAUUAACAGACUGAGGGUUUAUACAAAGAAUCUUACUCAGCCAAUAUUAAAGAUAAGAUAUUUUUUACAAAAUGUUCUUUUCAUUGUUUAGGAUGAUUUUAUGUAGAAAACAAUACAUCACAAAAAAGACUUUAGCUGGGUUUUCACAGGCAGGGCCUUACACACACACUAACCACAAUUAUAAACGCAACACUAACACAGAUUUAGACAGAUUUGUGAAUAAUAUUUGAGAGAAAUAGGCCUUUUGGGGACAUAGAAAAUAUUUAAGUUCAGCUCAUGAAAUGAAAAAUGGGGGCAAAAACAAUUUUUAACAAGUGCAAUACAAAUAUCAACCAUAAUACUGAUCGUUUUAAAAAAGUAAGCCACUAUAUCUUUCUAGAAUCUUACACAAGACUCAGUUACAUGAACGAUCAAAAUAAAUUAACGUCAGACAGGUGGGCGAAAUAUCAAUAUUAAAGCAUGAAUAACUGUUAUCAACCCAAUUUCAAGGUAUUAUUUAAAUGAUCCCACACCAAACAGUUUAUUAUUUAAAUGCAUUAUUACUACAUACCUUAAGCAAA